Molecule: transfer RNA, 84 nt
Filed under: Thermoplasmata archaeon
Lineage: Archaea; Methanobacteriati; Thermoplasmatota; Thermoplasmata
Also listed under: 2 other names
Description: tRNA-Leu
Rfam family: tRNA
About the family: Transfer RNA (tRNA) molecules are approximately 80 nucleotides in length. Their secondary structure includes four short double-helical elements and three loops (D, anti-codon, and T loops).
Source: RNAcentral
GCGGCGGUAGCCAAGCUCGGAAACGGCGCGAGAUUUAGGGUCUCGUCCCGCAGGGGUUCCCAGGUUCGAAUCCUGGCCGCCGCA